This 1427-nucleotide long non-coding RNA is filed under the name Theobroma cacao (cacao). RNAcentral's name for it is "long non-coding RNA (TCAC_LNC002847)". Lineage: Eukaryota; Viridiplantae; Streptophyta; Magnoliopsida; Malvales; Malvaceae. The record is from RNAcentral.
CCACCAAGGCUGUUAAAUGUCUUUACAUCCAAAAUUCUAGCCAUGCCUUGGCGUUGGCUGAGUCUCACUCUCACGCAGUGGUCCACGUGAAGUGCACUCAAAUCUUUACCUCCAAAGAUACCCUUCACACGGCUCUCCGAUCGAGGUAAGGUAUAUCUGAUUUUGUGCCCCUUCUCUUAGGCUGGUCCACAGAACCUCCACUGUAGGGAUUAUGAAUUAUUUUAUCUACCACCUGAUUUAUAAAAUCUUUUUCUGCAUGACAUAACAAUUUAUCGCAACCUAGCCUUUCAAGGUUGAAUACACAAUACAAAUAAUUCUAACACCAAAAUCAGUUUAGCCAUUCAUGAUCAUAUAUUGUCAUAAGCCAUUCAAUUUAGAACCAUAAAUUUACAACACAAGUAGGUAGUCUCCAAUUACUCUAUUUUCAAAACCAGUAUUCAAUUUUUCAGAAAAUUUAUAAAAUCAUUUUAUAAAAGCACAAUUUCUCCUAAAAACAUAGCAAUUUAUCAUUUAAACCUAUUUUUCGUAAAAUCAUACAAUUGUAUAAAACUACUCUAAAUAAAUAAGACGAUAAUAAGUUCACUCAAAGUUCUAGGAGUCGAUGUACUCUUAAUCCCAGUCUUCAAGCAUAAUCUCUGUACUUUUACCAGUGUAAUUUGCUCACCACCUAUCCACAAUAUACAAUACAUAAUUCACCACAUUAAUGCUUGACCAUUAUAAAUCAAUUCAGGCUCGGUGUAUAUGCAUAAUAUGACAUGCAACUUAUCCGACUACCGCUUAAAUACGGUGCUGACCUAAUUCGGCCUAUUACCCGAUUAAAUUACUAAUGCAUCUAAUUUAAUCCCAAAUUACUCCAUUUCUUUUCUAAUACCUCAAUUCACCAAACAUUAUGCAAAUAACAGCAAUUUCAGCAUCAAAACCUUCCCAUUUCUUCAUGGAAAAAUUCAGCCAUUACAGUGCACUAACAUCAUGAUUUUUCCUAAUUAAUUUUCUCUCCAUAAUUCAUUAAUUUCUACACCAAAAACUAUUAUUUCUUAAUCAAAUCACCUAGAAUAAUAUCCAAUUCUUCCUCAUUUUUCACUUAGAGAAUUAGGCUAAGGCUAGGUAAUGGGAAAAAUGAAUGUUUUUCUACAUAUUUUGUUUACUAACAUGCUAAACUAACACUAAACACUAACAUAUAUAUGAAAAUCAAAUCAAUCCAACAAUUUUCUCUCUCUAGACCCAUAUGACCAGCCAUGAAAUCACCAUGAAAACAUGCAAUUUAAUCAUGGAAAGUAAGGAGAAAUGCUUGGGAAUAAGAAAACUCAAGCUUAAUAGAAAAAAUCUCACCUUUUUCACUUAAUUUCCUUGAAAAUUCACACUUUUUCUUUGAUUUUCUCUCUCUAGGGUUUGGUUUUUGUUUUCUCUCUCUUCUUGCUGGUUUGACC